Molecule: non-coding RNA, 160 nt
Filed under: Oryza rufipogon (brownbeard rice)
Lineage: Eukaryota; Viridiplantae; Streptophyta; Magnoliopsida; Poales; Poaceae
Description: Bacterial large subunit ribosomal RNA
Rfam family: Bacterial large subunit ribosomal RNA
Source: Rfam by way of RNAcentral
AGAGCAUUGAGAAGACCUUUCCCUAGUACGAGAGGACUGGGAAGGACGCACCUCUGGUGUACCAGUUAUCGUGCCUACGGUAAACGCUGGGUAGCCAAGUGCGGAGAGGAUAACUGCUGAAAGCAUAUAAGUAGUAAGCCCACCCCAAGAUGAGUGCUCU